Molecule: ribosomal RNA, 495 nt
Filed under: uncultured soil bacterium
Lineage: Bacteria
Description: bacterial SSU rRNA
Rfam family: Bacterial small subunit ribosomal RNA
Source: RNAcentral
AGGACGAACGCUGGCGGCGUGCUUAACACAUGCAAGUCGAGGGGGAGUAGGGGCAACUCUACUUCACCGGCGAACGGGUGCGUAACACGUGAGCGACCUACCCUGGUGUGGGGGAUAGCCGGCCCAACGGCCGGGUAAUACCGCAUACGCUCUUUGAGGGGCAUCCCUUGGAGACCAAAGCCGUGGGGCAACUCACGGCGCAUUGGGAGGGGCUCGCGGCCUAUCAGCUAGUUGGCGAGGUAACGGCUCACCAAGGCGACGACGGGUAGCUGGUCUGAGAGGAUGGCCAGCCACAUUGGGACUGAGAGACGGCCCAGACUCCUACGGGAGGCAGCAGUGGGGAAUCUUGCGCAAUGGGCGAAAGCCUGACGCAGCGACGCCGCGUGCGGGAGGACGGCCUCGGGUCGUAAACCGCUGUUGCCCGGACGAAUAGCCCUUUCGAGGACUUGACGGUACCGGUGAGGAAGCACCGGCUAACUCCGUGCCAGCAGCCGC